Molecule: ribosomal RNA, 400 nt
Filed under: uncultured bacterium
Lineage: Bacteria
Description: bacterial SSU rRNA
Rfam family: Bacterial small subunit ribosomal RNA
Source: RNAcentral
UAGGGAAUAUUGGGCAAUGGUCGGAAGACUGACCCAGCCAUUCCGCGUGCAGGAAGAAGUAUCUCUGAUAUGUAAACUGCUUUAGCAGGGGAAGAAAAGGGCUGUGCGCAGCUAAUUGACGGUACCCUGAGAAUAAGCACCGGCUAACUCCGUGCCAGCAGCCGCGGUAAUACGGGGGGUGCAAGCGUUGUCCGGAUUUAUUGGGUUUAAAGGGUGCGCAGGCGGUCUGUUAAGUCAGUGUUUAAAUCGUGCAGCUUAACUGUACUAUGGCACUGAUACUGACGGGCUUGAGUGUAGUCGAGGUUGGCGGAAUUUAUGGUGUAGCGGUGAAAUGCUUAGAUACCAUAAAGAACACCGAUAGCGAAGGCAGCUAGCCAGGCUACUACUGACGCUCAUGCAC